This is a non-coding RNA of Betta splendens (Siamese fighting fish), 653 nucleotides long. The record is from the annotation of a RefSeq genome assembly. Lineage: Eukaryota; Metazoa; Chordata; Actinopteri; Anabantiformes; Osphronemidae.
GUGGGAGCAUUUCCAUAGAGCCACUUUGCAUCAGCAGCUCCAUGCUCCAGUGCUCUGGGAGAGUUUAUAGUCCUGAGAGCUGAACACUGGAUGACUGACAGCUGUCCUUCAUCACAACACAAGACACAGAAAUCCUCCUCAUCAGCAGCAUGACUGUGAUCUCCGUCCUCAUCUGGACUCUCCUCUGCUGCUGCUUCACAGAGUCCAGAGGUCAGGUCACAGUGACUCAGCCUGGAGCAGUGAGAACCACACUGGGAGGAAGAGUCACCAUCAGCUGUAGAACCAGUCAGAGUGUUUAUAACAAUGACUUUUUAGCCUGGUACCAAGAUAAAAAUGGAGAAUCUCCUAAACUGCUCAUUUACCGUGCUAAUAGUCGACAGUCAGGGAUUCCAGAUCGCUUUUCAGGCAGUGGAUCAAACUCUGACUUCACUCUGACCAUCAGUGGAGUCCAGGCUGAAGAUGCAGCAGAUUAUUACUGUCAGAGUUAUCAUUACAUCAACAGCAAAGUUGUGUUGACACAGUGAAAAACCGUCGUACAAAAACCUCCUUAGUCAAAGUGAACAGAAACUGAACUAACUGCUGCAGCUGGGUGCUACUGACACACACACACACACACACACACACACACACACACACACACACACACACACACA